Molecule: long non-coding RNA, 325 nt
Filed under: Elaeis guineensis (African oil palm)
Lineage: Eukaryota; Viridiplantae; Streptophyta; Magnoliopsida; Arecales; Arecaceae
Description: long non-coding RNA (EGUI_LNC010423)
Source: RNAcentral
GGCUUGACUUGUUCAGAUGAGAAAACAAGCGCUUUGAAGCAGGCCGGCCCGAACCCUAUACGAAAAAAAUAUAGUCCUGCUGGGAAUGUAGGUAUAAGAGUAAUUUUUUAUGCACUGUAGAUGGUGCAGAAUGCGUGCACUGCCCACUGCUGAUUGGCUCACAUGCGGGACAAAGAUACGGUGCAUUAAAAAAAAAAUUUCUUUCGACCCCGCAUGUGAGCUAAUCAUCACGGAUGGUGUGCACGAUUCUGCACCGCCCCCAAUGCACAAAGAAGUUCGCAUAGAUAUUAUAGGCAACCAAAUAUGAUUUUAGAUCUAGACAGCC